GGCGAACACACGCAGUUUGGUGAAGUUUUCAAAGUCAUGAAAGCUGAAGAGCCGCCAAAAACUCCUCUUCAGAAAACAAUGGAUUCCUUGGGCAAACAGUUGUCGUUUUAUUCUUUAUGUAUUAUUGCAUUGAUAAUCCUUCUUGGCUGGCUACAAAAUCGAAAGUCUCCUUAAAAACUGAAAACGAUCUCUC
This is a long non-coding RNA of Xenia sp. Carnegie-2017, 193 nucleotides long. RefSeq lists it as uncharacterized. The record is from RefSeq and is a predicted model, not a curated record. Lineage: Eukaryota; Metazoa; Cnidaria; Anthozoa; Malacalcyonacea; Xeniidae. The transcript has 3 exons.